GCUGGAAUGGCCGAGUCGUUAAGGCGAGUGAUUUGAACUCUUGGGCUUUAAAACCAGUUCAAUCUCAAAUUCAUCACUUGGUGUUUCACCGCGUAGGUUCAAAUCCUGCUUCCAGCG
Panaeolus papilionaceus is the source of this 117-nucleotide non-coding RNA. The record is from the annotation of a GenBank genome assembly. NCBI's taxonomy places the organism in Eukaryota, Fungi, Basidiomycota, Agaricomycetes, Agaricales.